RNAcentral lists this non-coding RNA (455 nucleotides) under Pan troglodytes (chimpanzee). The record is from RNAcentral. Lineage: Eukaryota; Metazoa; Chordata; Mammalia; Primates; Hominidae.
AAAAGAUCAGGACAAGGUUAUGAUUUCUCACCCAAGUUCCUGGGAAAAAGGAUCAUGAGGGAAUUACUUAUUAACAAGGAAAAAGCAAAGAGGAACUUUACAAACUGUUACAGUUUUCCAUCAUCACUUGACUGCUGACAAGAAACCUCUUUGAAUUCCAGUAUACACAAUCACAUUUUAAAACCUUCAAGACGCCGUUUAAUCAGGAGUUGUAAGGCACAUUUGUUAGAGAGAGCUGCACUUUAAAAAUUAUACAGACAUCACCUGAAGUUAUUAAAGUUAUCAAAACAUAUUAAAAACCUUCAAGUAAGAGGCUACUCCCCAGGAAACGUGUGGAGCCAGUGAACAGAAGAAAAACAAUGGAAGGAAGGCUUGAAAAGUCCAUUACAAAACUACAGUCCUUUGAAAAAGAUUUCAAAGAUAUUAAAAUGAAAACUGAUUACAUUAAACAAUAA